GAAUAUUGGUCAAUGGGCGAGAGCCUGAACCAGCCAUGCCGCGUGCAGGAUGACGGCCUUCUGGGUUGUAAACUGCUUUUCUACAGGAAGAAAAAGCCCUUGCGAGGGAACUUGCCGGUACUGUAGGAAUAAGCACCGGCUAACCCCGUGCCAGCAGCCGCGGUAAUACGGAGGGUGCAAGCGUUGUCCGGAUUUAUUGGGUUUAAAGGGUGCGUAGGCGGGUCUUUAAGUCCGUGGUGAAAGCCCAUCGCUCAACGAUGGAACUGCCAUGGAUACUGGAGGUCUUGAAUUCAGUUAAGGUAGGCGGAAUUGAUGGUGUAGCGGUGAAAUGCAUAGAUACCAUCAGGAACACCGAUUGCGAAGGCAGCUUACUGGGCUUGAAUUGACGCUGAGGCACGAAAGCGUGGGGAGCGAACAGGA
This 420-nucleotide ribosomal RNA is filed under the name uncultured bacterium. RNAcentral's name for it is "bacterial SSU rRNA". It matches the Rfam family "Bacterial small subunit ribosomal RNA", at positions 359 to 777 of the family's 1533-position model. The record is from RNAcentral.